RNAcentral lists this ribosomal RNA (253 nucleotides) under uncultured bacterium. RNAcentral describes it as "partial 16S ribosomal RNA". It matches the Rfam family "Bacterial small subunit ribosomal RNA", at positions 524 to 776 of the family's 1533-position model. The record is from RNAcentral.
UACGAAGGGGGCUAGCGUUGCUCGGAAUCACUGGGCGUAAAGGGCGCGUAGGCGGAUCUUUAAGUCGGGGGUGAAAGCCCAGGGCUCAACCCUGGAAUUGCCUUCGAUACUGAAGAUCUCGAGACCGGAAGAGGUAAGUGGAACUGCGAGUGUAGAGGUGAAAUUCGUAGAUAUUCGCAAAAACACCAGUGGCGAAGGCGGCUUACUGGUCCGGUUCUGACGCUGAGGCGCGAAAGCGUGGGGAGCAAACAGG